RNAcentral lists this unclassified non-coding RNA (193 nucleotides) under Glomeromycetes sp. RNAcentral describes it as "partial contains 5.8S ribosomal RNA and internal transcribed spacer 2". The stretch from base 1 to 72 matches the Rfam family "5.8S ribosomal RNA", at positions 84 to 154 of the family's 154-position model. Lineage: Eukaryota; Fungi; Glomeromycota; Glomeromycetes. The record is from RNAcentral.
GUGAAUCAUCAAAUCUUUGAACGCAAAUUGCACUCUCUGGUUUUUCCGGAGAGUAUGCCUGUUUGAGGGUCUGUUUAACAAAUAAUCGAGGCGGCUGAAGUGAUGGCUCGUCGGAAUUUGGUAAUCUUUCACAUUUAGGUUGUAAGCGACCUAAAAUUUUUUUUACGAUUUCUACGAACGUGACGAAGAAUUU